GCUGGGCGUGGUGGUGGGCGCCUGUAAUCCCCGCUACUCAGGAGGCUGAGGCAGGAGAAUCGCUUGAACUCAGGAGGCAGAGGUUGCAGUGAGCCAAGAUCACGCCACUGCAAUCUAGUCUGAGUGACAGAGUGAGACUCCGUCUCAA
Molecule: non-coding RNA, 148 nt
Organism: Pan troglodytes (chimpanzee)
Lineage: Eukaryota; Metazoa; Chordata; Mammalia; Primates; Hominidae
Rfam family: Metazoan signal recognition particle RNA
About the family: The signal recognition particle (SRP) is a universally conserved ribonucleoprotein. It is involved in the co-translational targeting of proteins to membranes.
Source: Rfam